UACGUAGGGUGCGAGCGUUAAUCGGAAUUACUGGGCGUAAAGCGUGCGUAGACGGUAGCGUAAGUCGGGUGUGAAAGCCCCGGGCUCAACCUGGGAACAGCAUUCGAGACUGCUCUGCUAGGGUGCGGAAGAGGGAAGCGGAAUUUCCGGUGUAGCGGUGAAAUGCGUAGAUAUCGGAAGGAACAUCAGUGGCGAAAGCGGCUUCCUGGUCCAGCACCGACGUUCAGGCACGAAAGCGUGGGGAGCAAACAGG
This 253-nucleotide ribosomal RNA is filed under the name uncultured bacterium. Its description in RNAcentral is "partial 16S ribosomal RNA". It matches the Rfam family "Bacterial small subunit ribosomal RNA", at positions 524 to 776 of the family's 1533-position model. The record is from RNAcentral.